RNAcentral lists this long non-coding RNA (489 nucleotides) under Astyanax mexicanus (Mexican tetra). Its description in RNAcentral is "lncRNA (ENSAMXG00005000375.1)". Lineage: Eukaryota; Metazoa; Chordata; Actinopteri; Characiformes; Acestrorhamphidae. The record is from RNAcentral.
UGACUGAGAAAGCCUGAGAAAGUUUGUUUUUCUCACUUCUGAAACACUGCAUCAUGAGUAUACCUUCACUGAGAGUUAGUCCCUGUGCUUCUGGUGACCAGCAGCAGUUCUUCCCCACAGUGUCCAGCCCUCAGGAUGUUAACACUGCAGCGUCUGGUUUCUUUGGUCAGUCUUCACACAGCUUGGCAGUUCCAACCUUACUGUAUGUUAAACAAAAUUCCAUGGAAGGACCCAUCGAACUGAAGGACUCUUCUGAAGAAGUUGAUGACAUUCUCAAACCCACAGUAGACCUGUGUGGGUAUAUCUCUGUGUUCCAUUAAGAGCAGGACAGGUUGUGUUGUUUUAUCAGGCUGCAUGUCAUCAGCAGCCGGAGGCUCUCUCCCUACAUCACUUCCACUGUGACCAAAGGAUUUGGCUUGAGGUUUAAUCAAAAGAAAAGAAUAUUUGUUAAUUUUUUCCAUUUCUUAAAAAAAUAUAUAUUUGCGCUGU